CUCCCCACGGUCUCCCUCUCCCUCUCUUUCCACGCUCUCCCUCUGAUGCCGAGCCGAAGCUGGACGCUGCCAUCUCGACUCACUGCAACCUCCCUGCCUGAUUCUCCUGCCUCAGCCUGCUGAGUGCCUGCGAUUGCAAGCGCGCACCGCCACGCCUGACUGGUUUUCGUAUUUUUUUGGUGGAGACGGGGUUUCGCUGUGUUGGCGGGGCUGGUCUCCAGCUCCUGACCACGAGUAAUCCGCCAGCCUCGGCCUCCCGAGGUGCCGGGAUUGCAAACGGAGUCUCGUUCACUCAGUGCUCAAUGUUGCCCGGGCUGGAGUGCAGUGGUGUGAUCUCGGCUAGCUACAACCUCCACCUCCCAGCCGCCUGCCUUGGCCUCCCAAAGUGCCCAGAUUGCAGCCUCUGCCCGGCCACCACCCUGUCUGGGAGGUGAGGGGCAUCUCUGCCUGGCCGCCCAUCGUCUGGGAUGUGAGGAGCCCCUCUGCCCGGCUGCCCAGUCUGGGAAGUGAGGAGCGCCUCUUCCCGGCCGCCAUCCCGUCUAGGAAGUGAGGAGCGUCUCUGCCCGGCCGCCCAUCGUCUGAGAUGUGGGGAGCGCCUCUGCUCCGCCGCCCCGUCUGGGAUGUGAGGAGCGCCUCUGCCCGGCCGGGACCCCGUCUGGGAGGUUAGGAGCGUCUCUGCCUGGCCGACCCGUCUGAGAAGUGAGGAGCCCCUCUGCCCGGCAGCCGCCCCGUCUGAGAAGUGAGGAGCCCCUCCACCCGGCAGCCGCCCCGUCUGAGAAGUGAGGAGCCCCUCCGCCCGGCAGCCGCCCCGUCUGAGAAGUGAGGAGCCCCUCCGCCCGGCAGCCACCCCGUCUGGGAAGUGAGGAGCGUCUCUGCCCGGCAGCCACCCCGUCCGGGAGGGAGGUGGGGGGUCAGCCCCCACCCGGCCAGCCGCCCCGUCCGGGAGGGAGGUGGGGGGGCAGCCCCCGCCCGGCCAGCAGCCCCAUCCGGGAGGGAGGUGGGGGGUCAGCCUCCACCCGGCCACCACCCCAUCCGGGAGGUGGGGGGCGCCUCUGCCCUGCCGCCCCUUCUGGGAAUUGAGGAGCCCCUCUGCCCGGCCACCAUCCUGUCUGGGAGGUGUACCCAACAGCUCAUUGAGAACGGGCCAUGAUGACGAUGGCGGUUUUGUGGAAUAGAAAAGGGGAAAAGGUGGGGAAAGGAUAGAGAAAUCAGAUUGUUGCUGUGUCUGUGUAGAAGGAAGUAGACAUGGGAGACUUCAUUUUGCUGUGUACUAAGAAAAAUUCUUCUGCCUUGGGAUGUUGUUGAUCUAUGACCUUACCCCCAACCCUGUGCUCUCUGAAACAUGUGCUGUGUCCACUCAGGGUUAAAUGGAUUAAGGGCGGUGCAAGAUGUGCUUUGUUGAACAGAUGCUUGAAGGCAGCAUGCUCGUUAAGAGUCAUCACCGCUCCCUAAUCUCAAGUACCCAGGGACACAAACACUGCGGAAGGCCGCAGGGUCCUCUCCCUAGGAAAACCAGAGACCUUUGUUCACUUGUUUAACUGCUGACCUUCCCUCCACUAUUGUCCUAUGACCCUGCCAAAUCCCCCUCUGCAAGAAACACCCAAAAAUGACCAAUAAAAUUAAAAUUAAAAAAAAUUAAAAAAAUAAAAAAUAUAUAGUCAACAGCCUCUUCAGGAGUAUCAAAAGUAUGUCUUUGAAAUACAUUUACCAGUAAGUCUCCAACGAGGAUAAGAACUUCACAUCCAAUCUAAGACAAUCAGGCGUUUAGAAAACUACACUAAGAAUCCCAUAAUCUACUUACUCACUGGAAGACCUGCUCAGAACAGAGAGAAAGCUCAAGUGAAAGCAAGU
RNAcentral lists this long non-coding RNA (1851 nucleotides) under Homo sapiens (human). RNAcentral's name for it is "HSALNT0370389". The record is from RNAcentral. Lineage: Eukaryota; Metazoa; Chordata; Mammalia; Primates; Hominidae.